CAGUCGCCGCGGGAACACGUAGGGUGCAAGCGUUAAUCGGAAUUACUGGGCGUAAAGCGUGCGCAGGCGGUUAUAUAAGUCAGAUGUGAAAUCCCUGGGCUCAACCUGGGAACUGCAUUUGAGACUGUAUGGCUAGAGUGUGUCAGAGGGGGGUAGAACUCCACGUGUAGCAGUGAAAUGCGUAGAUAUGUGGAGGAAUACCGAUGGCGAAGGCAGCCCCCUGGGAUAACACUGACGCUCAUGCACGAAAGCGUGGGGAGCAAACAGGAUUAGAUACCCGCGUAGUCCCUGUCUCUUAUAC
RNAcentral lists this ribosomal RNA (301 nucleotides) under uncultured bacterium. RNAcentral describes it as "partial 16S ribosomal RNA". It matches the Rfam family "Bacterial small subunit ribosomal RNA", at positions 509 to 807 of the family's 1533-position model. The record is from RNAcentral.